GAAAUUUUUUAUUUCUACUUGUGGCAAGAAAACAAGUUCGGUGACACCAUGUUUUCUUUUUAUUUUCUUAAAACAUAUUAUGAAACCUAUCUUCUCACAAUUUAUUUCAAAAUUCUAUCUCAUAGAUUUUUUUGUAUGCACUCUUAUGUGUUUUUUCAUGAACAAACCAACCAAAUUUAGGCAAUUUUCAACGACUCAUAGCUUGAAAAAUAGCACGGUGACCCAUACUUUUAAUUAUAGUUUUGAAAAAAGCAUAUUAAAAUCUUCA
RNAcentral lists this long non-coding RNA (268 nucleotides) under Mytilus galloprovincialis (Mediterranean mussel). Lineage: Eukaryota; Metazoa; Mollusca; Bivalvia; Mytilida; Mytilidae. The record is from RNAcentral.